UAAUCAUUUUAGUUCUGUGUACUCAAAAUAUUCUGAUUUUUAUGAAGGAGUUCCUGCACUAUGUCAUUGCGACCGUCCUGAUAUUGGUUGCGUCGAUUAUUGGAGCAUCCAAGGCAUUUGGCUAUGCUGGAUUAGCAGCUGGAGUGUUCUUCGGCUUCGCAUCAACAAUUCUAUACGGCGUUGGGGCCUGGCAGUCCUACAAGAUGUGGCGUGUUCCUCAACCAUCAACUGUUACUGUAUAACUGAUCAGUGUCAGAAAUUGGCAGCAGUUUCAUCGGAUUCAUAUAUCCAGAGACUCAGUUGUGUUCACCCUUGAGAUCUGAAGAUUCAAUUUAUAUUAACUGUGCUUGAUAAUAUUGUCAUUCGACUUAAGAAGUUAAUUAUUUUUAUAUUUUAUAAAUUAGCUAAUGUAAAAUUGUACCAAAGACAAGAUGAACAAAAUAUUUUAUAUAAAAGCUUAAAAAAUACAUGACUUCAUUCUGGUUCACUAGUGUUAUACCAUGGUACUGAGGCAGAGUCCAAAACCAAAGCGCUCAAUAUCCCUUUCAUGAGAUGUCACAGAUGCGUCCUGACCUGCUAAGUUCUUCCAGCAGGUUGUUUGUUGCUCCAGAUCCCAGCAUCUGUAGUCACUUGAGUCUCCAACGCUACCUUCAAAUCUUCUCCCUUCCCCCUCUACUCUGAGCCUCUCUUCUCCCACCACAUUUACCUCCCUCCCUAAGGUAAUAUCAACCACCUUGACUUGUCCAUUCUCUCAUCCACUCGAACCUUAACCCCUCCAAACACGCAACUCUCUACACGCUUGGCACCAAUCCCAAACGCACAAGCGAGCACAGUGCCAUUGAGGGCUGGUGGAGUGUCCUCUACGGUGUAGAAGCUGGAUGGCAACACUCGGACACCUCUCCCAGGAACAUGUCCCCACGAACACCAUGGUUUCCCAUACCAUCACAGAUCUUCCCUCUACUGUUUUCAACCUAAUAGUGCCCCAUUCCUACCUAUCUCCUUCAUUCGUGAUGCAGUGAUGAAUUUAGACUCUACAGACGCUGCUUGACUUCCUGAGUCCCUCCAUCAUUUUGCUUUUGCUCCAGAUCCCAGCAGUUGCUUGUGUCCAUUACCACAUAGCAUUUUUGUUGCAAGUGCAAUUUGUUCAUUAAAUAUGUAAAAGUUAACCAACCUUUAUAAUGCUUUAGUGUUCACACCUUUAAAAUUACCAAUAAAAAUCCUCCGUGGUUUGAAAGUACCAUUUUAUUUUUGACAUGCUGACAUAAGGUUUUGAUAUUUUGUGCCAGACAGGAAACCUGCCUGACUGACUUUAGUUUCAAUAUAUGUUCUUGUGCUUGAUGACAUAUUGUAUGGAAAGAUGCCUUGUAAAUAAAAUAAACUGUUUUUUCUGUAUCCU
Leucoraja erinaceus (little skate) is the source of this 1396-nucleotide long non-coding RNA. RefSeq lists it as uncharacterized. The record is from RefSeq and is a predicted model, not a curated record. The transcript has 3 exons. NCBI's taxonomy places the organism in Eukaryota, Metazoa, Chordata, Chondrichthyes, Rajiformes, Rajidae.